AGAGCAUAGGGCGAAUGCCUUGGCACUAGGAGCCGAAGAAGGACGUGAUAAGCUGCGAUAAGCUACGGUAAGGCGCAAAUAGCCAAUAACCCGUAGAUUUCCGAAUGAGGGAACUCAAUUAUGGUAAUGCAUAAUUAUCCUAUGAUGAAUAUAUAGUCAUAGAGAAGGUAACCCGGAGAACUGAAACAUCUAAGUAACCGGAGGAAGAGAAAGAAAAAUCGAUUUUCAAAGUAGCGGCGAGCGAAAUGGAAAGAGCCCAAACCACAGAAGCUGUGGGGUUGUGGACCACCAAAACGAGAAUGAAGCAUAGCCAAAUUGUCUGGAAAGGCAAGACAAAGAGGGUGAAAUCCCCGUAGGCGAAAUGUAGAGUUUUCAGGGUGGCACCAGAGUAGGGCGGGACACGUGAAACCCUGUCUGAAGUAUGGGAGGACCACCUCCUAAGGCUAAAUACUACCUAGUGACCGAUAGAGAAUAGUACCGUGAGGGAAAGGUGAAAAGAACCCCGGAAGGGGAGUGAAAUAGAAUCUGAAACCUUAUGCUUACAAGCAGAGGGAGCAAAGAGGGUAGCCUCUAAGUGACCUCGUACUUUUUGUAGAACGGGCCAACGAGUUAUGGUGUGUAGCAAGGUGAAGGCGUGAAGCGCAACAGCCGAAGUGAAAGCGAGCCUUAAUAGGGCGAGAAGUUGCAUGCUGUAGACCCGAAACCGGGUGAUCUAUCCAUGUGCAGGUUGAAGCGAGAGUAAAAUCUCGUGGAGGACCGAACCUGUAUCUGUUGAAAAAGGUUAGGAUGACGUGUGGAUAGGGGUGAAAUUCCAAUCGAACUCGGAGAUAGCUGGUUCUCCUCGAAAUAGCUUUAGGGCUAGCCUCAAGGAAAGAUUAACGGAGGUAGAGCACUGAAUGUUUGCGGGACCUUCACCGGUUACCAAAAACUAUCAAACUCCGAAUGCCGUAUAAUUAUACUUGGGAGUCAGACUAUGUGAGAUAAGUUUCAUAGUCGAAAGGGAAACAGCCCAGACCUACAGCUAAGGUCCCAAAAUAUAAGUUAAGUGGAAAAGGAUGUGAAGUUGCACAAACAGCUAGGAUGUUGGCUUAGAAGCAGCCAUACAUUUAAAGAGUGCGUAACAGCUCACUAGUCGAGUGAUUUUGCGCCGAAGAUAAACGGGGCUAAAACUUAUUACCGAAGCUUGGGAAUUUAAAAUAAAUUGGUAGAGGAGCGUCCUAUGUGGGUUGAAGUUGUGCCGUAAGGCAUGGUGGACUGCAUAGGAGUGAGAAUGUUGGCAUGAGUAGCGAGAGACAGGUGAGAAUCCUGUCGGCCGAAAAUCUAAGGUUUCCUGAGCAAGGUUCGUCCGCUCAGGGUUAGUCGGGACCUAAGCUGAGGGCGAAAGCCAUAGGCGAUGGACAACAGGUUGAUAUUCCUGUACCACCGAUAGUCGUUAAGAGUGAAGUGGGGACACAGAAGGAUAGGUUAAGCGUGCCGUUGGUAGAGCACGUACAAGCGUUAAGGUAGUUGCGGCAGGCAAAUCCACUGCAAUAAUACUGAGGCGUUAUGUGGAGGGAAAUUAAGUACCGGAAGUGACUGAUUUCAUGCUGUCAAGAAAAUCCGCUAGCAAGACUAAAGGUGCCCGUACCGCAAACCGACACAGGUAGAUGAGGAGAGAAUCCUAAGGCCAGCGAGAUAACUAUUGUUAAGGAACUCGGCAAAAUAACCCCGUAACUUUGGGAGAAGGGGUACCUACGCAAGUAGGUCGCAGUGAAUAGGCCCAGGCGACUGUUUAGCAAAAACACAGGUCUCUGCAAAAGCGAAAGCUGAAGUAUAGGGGCUGACGCCUGCCCGGUGCUGGAAGGUUAAGGUGAAGUGUAAGGGUAACCGAAGCACAGAACUUAAGCCCCAGUAAACGGCGGCCGUAACUAUAACGGUCCUAAGGUAGCGAAAUUCCUUGUCAGGUAAGUUCUGACCCGCACGAAAGGCGUAACGAUCUGGGCGCUGUCUCAACAAUAGACUCGGUGAAAUUGUAGUACCGGUAAAGAUGCCGGUUACCCGCAGCAGGACGGAAAGACCCCGUGGAGCUUUACUGUAACUUGAUAUUGAGUUUCGGUGUUAUGCGUACAGGAUAGGUGGGAGACUAUGAAUUUGGAGCGCCAGUUUCAGAGGAGUCACUGUUGGGAUACCACCCUUGUAGCAUUGGAAUUCUAACCCGGUAGCAUUAUCUGCUACGGGGACAGUGUCUGGUGGACAGUUUGACUGGGGCGGUCGCCUCCUAAAGAGUAACGGAGGCGCCCAAAGGUUCCCUCAGAAUGGUUGGAAAUCAUUCGUAGAGUGUAAAGGCAGAAGGGAGCUUGACUGCGAGACCAACAAGUCGAGCAGGGACGAAAGUCGGGCUUAGUGAUCCGGUGGUUCCGAGUGGAAGGGCCAUCGCUCAACGGAUAAAAGCUACCCCGGGGAUAACAGGCUGAUACCGCCCAAGAGUUCACAUCGACGGCGGUGUUUGGCACCUCGAUGUCGGCUCGUCUCAUCCUGGGGCUGGAGUAGGUCCCAAGGGUUGGGCUGUUCGCCCAUUAAAGAGGUACGCGAGCUGGGUUCAGAACGUCGGGAGACAGUUCGGUCCCUAUCCGCUGUGGGCGUUGGAAAUUUGAGUGGAGCUGUUCCUAGUACGAGAGGACCGGAAUGGACAUACCUAUGGUGUACCGGUUGUUCUGCCAAGGGCAUAGCCGGGUAGCUAAGUAUGGAAAGGAUAAGCGCUGAAAGCAUCUAAGUGCGAAGCCAACCACAAGAUAAGAUUUCCUCCAGCAAUGGUAAGACCCGUGAGAGACCAUCACGUUGAUAGGUCGGAGGUGUAAGUGCAGUAAUGUAUUUAGCUGACCGAUACUAAUAGGUCGAACGCUUGACCA
RNAcentral lists this ribosomal RNA (2888 nucleotides) under human oral metagenome. RNAcentral's name for it is "bacterial LSU rRNA". It matches the Rfam family "Bacterial large subunit ribosomal RNA". The record is from RNAcentral.